RNAcentral lists this ribosomal RNA (386 nucleotides) under uncultured Flavobacterium sp. RNAcentral describes it as "bacterial SSU rRNA". It matches the Rfam family "Bacterial small subunit ribosomal RNA", at positions 9 to 393 of the family's 1533-position model. The record is from RNAcentral. Lineage: Bacteria; Pseudomonadati; Bacteroidota; Flavobacteriia; Flavobacteriales; Flavobacteriaceae.
GAGUUUGAUCCUGGCUCAGGAUGAACGCUAGCGGCAGGCCUAAUACAUGCAAGUCGAGGGGCAGCGCGGGUAGCAAUACCUGGCGGCGACCGGCGCACGGGUGCGUAACACGUAUACAAUCUGCCUUUAACAGGGGGAUAGCCCGGAGAAAUCCGGAUUAAUACCCCAUAAUAUAUUGAGUGGCAUCACUUGAUAUUGAAAGCUCCGGCGGUUAGAGAUGAGUAUGCGCCUGAUUAGUUAGUUGGUGAGGUAACGGCUCACCAAGACUUCGAUCAGUAGGGGAUCUGAGAGGACUACCCCCCACACGGAUACUGAGACACGGAUCCGACUCCUACGGGAGGCAGCAGUAAGGAAUAUUGGACAAUGCCCGCAAGGGUGAUCCAGCC